This 496-nucleotide ribosomal RNA is filed under the name uncultured bacterium. RNAcentral describes it as "partial 16S ribosomal RNA". It matches the Rfam family "Bacterial small subunit ribosomal RNA", at positions 28 to 506 of the family's 1533-position model. The record is from RNAcentral.
GAUGAACGCUGGCGGCGUGCCUAAUACAUGCAAGUCGAGCGAACAGAUGAGGAGCUGGCUCCUCUGACGUUAGCGGCGGACGGGUGAGUAACACGUGGAUAACCUACCUAUCAGACGGGGAUAACUUCGGGAAACCGGAGCUAAUACCGGAUAAUAUAUUGAACCGCAGGGUUGAAUAGUGAAAGACGGUUUUGCUGUCACUUAUAGAUGGAUCCUCGCCGCAUUAGCUAGGUGGUAAGGUAACGGCUUACCAAGGCACCGAUGCGUAGCCGACCUGAGGGGUUGGUCGGCCACCGGUGACACUGGGACUGGUACAGACUCCUGACGCAGGCGGGAGUAGGCAGUCUUCCGUAUUGGGCGAUGGCCUGAAGUAUCAACGCGGCGUGAGUCAUGAAGGUCGUCGGCUUGUAAAUCUCUGUUAUCAGGUACUCACAAAUGUGUAACUAACUAUGCUCGGUUUGACGGUACCUAAUAAGAAGGCCCCGGUUACUUCCGU